RNAcentral lists this non-coding RNA (45 nucleotides) under Trypanosoma brucei brucei. The record is from RNAcentral. Lineage: Eukaryota; Euglenozoa; Kinetoplastea; Trypanosomatida; Trypanosomatidae.
AAACAAAAAUCUAAUAGAAAACGAGAACUGAGUAAUUGAUAUAAU